Non-coding RNA from Coffea arabica (coffee), 2829 nucleotides. The record is from RefSeq and is a predicted model, not a curated record. Lineage: Eukaryota; Viridiplantae; Streptophyta; Magnoliopsida; Gentianales; Rubiaceae.
ACUGAGAAUUUCUGUUUAUUUUCUGAAUAAAUACACAAAGGCAAAUAAGGGGAAAGGAAAAUUCUCAAUCCUAGGUUCUAUAAUCAAUUGAAUAAACUCCAAAUUGAUUCCUGAUUUUUUACCUAAAAAAAAAAUUGAUUCCUGAUUUUUUUUUUCUCAACUAAUCAGAAACAUACAUAAAUAUAUGGAGAGAAUAAUUGGAGAGAAAUAUAAGCUUGGGCGCAAGAUCGGUGGCGGUUCGUUCGGAGUAAUAUAUCUCGCUACUCAUAUCGACACGGGUGAAAUUGUUGCGAUUAAAAUCGAAAGUAAGCAGACAAAACAUCCACAAUUAAUGUAUGAGGCGAAGUUGUAUAAUAUUCUGCAGGGCGGAAGUGGCAUUGCUAAUAUUAAAUGGCAUGGGGCAGAUGGAGAUGACAAUGUCCUUGUCCUUGACCUUCUUGGUCCUAGCCUUGAAGAUCUUUUCGUUUACUGUGGAACAAAGUUUUCUCUAAAAACAGUUCUCAUGUUGGCUGACCAGAUGAUUACGAGAAUAGAAUAUGUGCAUUCCAAAGGGUUUCUACAUAGAGAUGUCAAACCAGAUAACUUCCUAAUGGGUCUUGGAAGAAAAGCAAAUCAGGUGUAUAUUAUUGACUUUGGACUUGCCAAAAGAUACCGCGAUCCGACCACAAACCGCCACAUCCCUUACAGGGAAAAGAAAAAUUUGACUGGAACUGCUCGAUAUGCAAGCUGUAAUACUCAUUUGGGCAUUGAACAAAGUCGACGGGAUGAUUUAGAGGCUCUUGGUUAUGUUCUUUUGUACUUCUUGAGAGGAAGCCUUCCAUGGCAGGGUCUAAAAGCUGCUACAAAGAAGCAAAAGUAUGAUAAAAUAUGUGACAAAAAGGUGUCAACACCUGUUGAGGUUUUAUGCAAGUCUUAUCCUGUGGAGUUUGCAUCUUAUCUCCAUUACUGCCACUCAUUAACCUUUGAUCAACGGCCUGAUUAUGGAUUCUUGAAGCGUAUAUUCCGAGAUUUAUUUACUCGUGAAGGUUUUGUAUUUGACUAUGUAUUUGAUUGGACUAUUAUGAAGUAUCAACAAUCACAGAGGUCAAAGACGAAUCUACAGCUACAUCAUCCGGUGUCAGCUUCUGGGUUGACCAGCACUAAAGAAUUGCCAGUGGGUUUAGAUAAGCUUCAAGCAGACAGAGGAACAAGUGAUCUGAGACAACCUAAUGGUCACAUAUCUUCUCUUUCCGGAGCUGUACGCGAUCUUAGUGCUAGUACUAUGGCAGAGAAACUAACUAUAAGCAAGGAACCACACCCCUCAUCUUCAUUUUCUCUGGCUAAUGCAUUCAAAAGAAAUAUUCCAAAACCAGGAGAGCCAAAUGAAACAGGAAAACAUGGACAUAGACACAAUAGUAAAGCUGGCCCAUCAAGCAGCUGGAUGCCAUCAUCACGCGACCUUUCUUCUGCCAAGUAAAGUGAAGUGGUAUUUGAUGGACAGCACUUAAGGCGCCAAAUGAUUUGCUCCUGUUGUGAAGUCACAUUUCUUGAAUCCUGUACAAGAUUGCUAAUUUAUUUCUUAAGGUACCGAAGUUCUUCAGAGUUUGAAUCAUGUAAGAUGGGAUUGAGAUUUUGGUAUGUGAUCAAUAUAACACCUGUGAAGCUGCUGCUUCUGAAUGCCGAAUAUAUAGCUUCUAAGGACUUCAUUCAAGGAUGGAAAGUUUUAUACUUGGUGUUUACAGGGAUCUUGGCUUCAUAUGGAAAGGAUGGAUUAGAAUUGGCGUCAUCUUGCACAGAGAAUAAUAAUGUGAUGAUCUUGAGCUGACUUCUAAGUAGCUGGUCUGCUUGGUCAAUUAAGAGAUUGAUGACAUUUCCUUGAGCCUGGAGGAUCAAACAAAUUUCUUUUUCGAAUCUUUCGGUGUUUUGGCUGGUUGUGGGUCAAUAUAGAAGCUGAAGCUGAAUGACUUUGCUCAAAUUUGAAUGGGUUGUGUCCUUUUCUAUGUUCUGUUCAGUAAAUGAAUGGAAGGUUAAUUGGAUACUCCGCGCAAAAGUAGGAAAGCCAGUAGGAAAGAAAAUGGAGGGGGGGGGGGUUGGGGCUGCUGCUGCUUCCAUACUUGACACGGACUUAUUUGCGCACAAGAAUUCUAACUUAUUGCCCAAAAGGUUACUAGGUACAUUUUUCUCUUUAAGGUUUCUUACAUGACCUGAAAUUUGUUGAAAGGAGGGAAGAGGAUUUAAAUGCGAUAGCAGUGGCGCUAUUAAAUUGAUUUCGUAUAUGGGCACAAAAGUAUAGAUUGGGGUGUUGAACUGGGGACUCGUAUUCGAAAAGUAGAGGAAAGCAGGUUCACCUAUUGGUUGAGUACUUUCACCAGUUAGUUGGCAGGACCUGAUGACGAAUCUAUCAUUGUUUUUAAGGCUUGUGGACCAUUUACAGUUUAGAGAAGCAAGUCUGGAGUAUCUCUGAAGUCCUUUGAGAGGGAAUUAGGCUUCCUGUUUUGCCUGCAUGUAUGUGGAGUCACCUGUUUUGAAUCCAUUGAGGACCUCGGCAGAUUUUCUUUCAUAUGGGGGUAUUUAGUGCUGCUGGUUUUUAUCCGGAAAUGGUGAAUUCCUUUUGAUUCUAAUCAUGAAGAACUGAAGGACUUUCACCUUUAUGAGAGAAUUGACCCCGGGAGGUUUUUGAUACUGCCUUCAGUUUGCCCAUGUUCUAACUAUUGUUUUUGGUUCUCCUCUGCUUUGUGCAGUUGUUCCUGACUAACAUCUCCUUGAAUGUUGGAUGAAAUGUCCUUAUGAGAGCGAGAAGUUGUAUAUAGCUUUACCCCAAAAAAAAAAAAAAAAAAAAAAACACACACA